UAAGCGGAGGAAAAGAAACUAACAAGGAUUCCCCUAGUAGCGGCGAGCGAAGCGGGAAGAGCUCAAAUUUAUAAUCUGGCACCUUCGGUGUCCGAGUUGUAAUCUCUAGAAAUGUUUUCCGCGCUGGACCGCACACAAGUCUGUUGGAAUACAGCGGCAUAGUGGUGAGACCCCCGUAUAUGGUGCGGAUGCCCAGCGCUUUGUGAUACAUUUUCGAAGAGUCGAGUUGUUUGGGAAUGCAGCUCAAAUUGGGUGGUAAAUUCCAUCUAAAGCUAAAUAUUGGCGAGAGACCGAUAGCGAACAAGUACCGUGAGGGAAAGAUGAAAAGCACUUUGGAAAGAGAGUUAACAGUACGUGAAAUUGUUGGAAGGGAAACGCUUGAAGUCAGACUUGCUUGCCGAGCAAUCGGUUUGCAGGCCAGCAUCAGUUUUCCGGGAUGGAUAAUGGUAGAGAGAAGGUAGCAGUUUCGGCUGUGUUAUAGCUCUCUACUGGAUACAUCUUGGGGGACUGAGGAACGCAGUGUGCCUUACGGCGGGGGUUUCGACCUCUUCACACUUAGGAUGCUGGUGGAAUGGCUUUAAACGAC
RNAcentral lists this ribosomal RNA (586 nucleotides) under Rhodotorula dairenensis. Its description in RNAcentral is "eukaryotic LSU rRNA". It matches the Rfam family "Eukaryotic large subunit ribosomal RNA", at positions 47 to 648 of the family's 3401-position model. The record is from RNAcentral. Lineage: Eukaryota; Fungi; Basidiomycota; Microbotryomycetes; Sporidiobolales; Sporidiobolaceae.